This 418-nucleotide ribosomal RNA is filed under the name uncultured bacterium. RNAcentral's name for it is "bacterial SSU rRNA". It matches the Rfam family "Bacterial small subunit ribosomal RNA", at positions 358 to 776 of the family's 1533-position model. The record is from RNAcentral.
GGAAUAUUGCACAAUGGGCGCAAGCCUGAUGCAGCGAUGCCGCGUGGGGGAUGACGGCCUUCGGGUUGUAAACCUCUUUUGUCGGGGAGCAAAGCCGCCACGUGUGGCGGGUUGAGAGUACCCGAAGAAAAAGCAGCGGCUCACUCCGUGCCAGCACCCGCGGUAAUACGGAGGAUGCGAGCGUUAUCCGGAUUUAUUGGGUUUAAAGGGUGCGUAGGCGGACGAUCAAGUCAGCGGUCAAAUGUCGGGGCUUAACCCCGGCCUGCCGUUGAAACUGGUUGUCUUGAGUGAGCGAGAGGUAUGCGGAAUGCGUGGUGUAGCGGUGAAAUGCAUAGAUAUCACGCAGAACCCCGAUUGCGAAGGCAGCAUACCGGUGCUCAACUGACGCUGAUGCACGAAAGCGUGGGGAUCAAACAGG